This 253-nucleotide ribosomal RNA is filed under the name uncultured bacterium. RNAcentral describes it as "partial 16S ribosomal RNA". It matches the Rfam family "Bacterial small subunit ribosomal RNA", at positions 524 to 776 of the family's 1533-position model. The record is from RNAcentral.
UACGAAGGGGGCUAGCGUUGCUCGGAAUUACUGGGCGUAAAGCGCGCGUAGGCGGCUCUGCAAGUCGGGGGUGAAAUCCCGAGGCUCAACCUCGGAACUGCCUUCGAUACUGCGGGUCUCGAGUCCGGGAGAGGUGAGUGGAAUUCCUAGUGUAGAGGUGAAAUCCGUAGAUAUUAGGAAGAACACCAGUGGCGAAGGCGGCUCACUGGCCCGGUACUGACGCUGAGGCGCGAAAGCGUGGGGAGCAAACAGG